This 467-nucleotide ribosomal RNA is filed under the name uncultured bacterium. RNAcentral's name for it is "partial 16S ribosomal RNA". It matches the Rfam family "Bacterial small subunit ribosomal RNA", at positions 28 to 506 of the family's 1533-position model. The record is from RNAcentral.
GACGAACGCUGGCGGCGUGCUUAACACAUGCAAGUCGAACGGAAAGGCCCUGCUUUUGUGGGGUGCUCGAGUGGCGAACGGGUGAGUAACACGUGAGUAACCUGCCCUUGACUUUGGGAUAACUUCAGGAAACUGGGGCUAAUACCGGAUAGGAGCUCCUGCUGCAUGGUGGGGGUUGGAAAGUUUCGGCGGUUGGGGAUGGACUCGCGGCUUAUCAGCUUGUUGGUGGGGUAGUGGCUUACCAAGGCUUUGACGGGUAGCCGGCCUGAGAGGGUGACCGGCCACAUUGGGACUGAGAUACGGCCCAGACUCCUACGGGAGGCAGCAGUGGGGAAUAUUGCACAAUGGGCGGAAGCCUGAUGCAGAAACGCCGCGUGCGGGAUGACGGCCUUCGGGUUGUAAACCGCUUUCGCCUGUGACGAAGCGUGAGUGACGGUAAUGGGUAAAGAAGCACCGGCUAACUACGG